Molecule: long non-coding RNA, 487 nt
Organism: Anthonomus grandis grandis
Lineage: Eukaryota; Metazoa; Arthropoda; Insecta; Coleoptera; Curculionidae
Exons: 3
Source: RefSeq, a predicted model, not a curated record
AAAAUUAUCAUUAUUAUAUAAAAGGUUAACAGGUCGAUAAAUUUAUUUAGUAUUUUAUCGGUUGUUUAGAAUUUUAGAUCACAAUGAAAGCUACACUCUUUAUUUUGGUGUUUUUAACUGUACUUUCGGUAGUUUUUUCGGCGGUAUUUCGAUACCCCAAGAUAGAAGGUAAACCGGGAGAUUGUUGGUCUGAGGAUACUGGACCCAUGAUAAGUGGUGAAACUAAACAACUUGAUGGUAAAUGUUCUCGAGCCAAUUGUAGCCAAGAUGGUACUAUUCAAGUAGCUUCAUGUGGCGUUGCAAGGGGACCAAAUGGUGCGACCGAUACCGAUUAUUCCAAAACGUAUCCAGAGUGCUGCCCGAGACCGAAAUAAAUGUGUAUUUGAAUCUAGAAAUGUGCUUUUUUUAAUGCGUUCAAAUUCGAUAACGAGUUUCAUUAGAAAAAGUGAAUAAAGAUUUUUAGAACAAUAAAAACAUUUUCUUUAAA